UACGAAGGGGGCUAGCGUUGCUCGGAAUUACUGGGCGUAAAGCGCACGUAGGCGGCUUCUUAAGUCGGUGGUGAAAUCCUGGAGCUCAACUCCAGAACUGCCUUCGAUACUGGGAAGCUCGAGUCCGGGAGAGGUGAGUGGAACUGCGAGUGUAGAGGUGAAAUUCGUAGAUAUUCGCAAGAACACCAGUGGCGAAGGCGGCUCACUGGCCCGGUACUGACGCUGAGGUGCGAAAGCGUAGGGAGCAAACAGG
This 253-nucleotide ribosomal RNA is filed under the name uncultured bacterium. RNAcentral's name for it is "partial 16S ribosomal RNA". It matches the Rfam family "Bacterial small subunit ribosomal RNA", at positions 524 to 776 of the family's 1533-position model. The record is from RNAcentral.